CUAAAUAAUUUCAAAAUAAAUUAACAUUGUAGGUACUGCAGUUGGUGUAGAAGAAUGUCUUUGCAUACAUCGUUUACCAGUUAAAUUAUAAUCUGGCCUUCUGGGAAAAGUUGUUAACUACUAAAUGAAGACUCUGCGCUAAAUGAUCAUCAGAAAGUGUUGUUCGUCAGCUCGGUAUUCAGCUUUUAAGACUUUCAUGUAAGAAAAUGUUAUGUCACACAAACAGAUUAAGCCGAAUAUAUGUCAUUUUUGUUAUCUUUUCUCUGCGGACUGCCACACACAUGGUUACAAUAUGAUAUCAUUUUAUGUAUAGUUAUAAUAAUAUACAUAGAUAGUUUUUACAAUUUUAUUAUCAACAUCGAACCCUGCACAUUGCACCAGCAGCUAUUAUUAUUGUGCAAACGACCAUCGAGAAUUAUACACGAGCACGAUGUAGCGGGUCAGUGAAAAAAAGAAGCGUACAUUUGCCGUAGUUGCCGUUUCGACCAAAUGUAUUAUAAUAUUAUUAUUAUACGUGAUACGUCGCAUGCCGAUUCGAAACGCGGGACUUAACGGUUAUUGCUGAACGCACGACACAUUUUGCGCGUGGAGUAUAAAUUACGAUACGAGAUAAAAAAGACGAGCCACGCAUGUAUGUGCACAGGUAUAAUACGCGUGAAGGUCCACCGACGUUUGAAACCUGUGGAGUAACACGGCUAACGGUCAAACACCUACUAAAGGAAUGUAUUUAGACGAUUCGAAAGGUCCGCUGCAGGUCAUCCCACAAGGAAAUCGUGUUGGUUCAUAAUACAUUAUACCAUAGCUACGACUGAGCACAGAUCGUGUUUGGCGAAUCGCCCUCGAAAAUACCACCGUGGCCGUACUUUAAAUACGAAGGCGCGAACAAUCGCUCUCUGGAGCUGGAUGUUUACAAAAUUUCAAGAUUCGAGAGACAUCCGAUGACGUCGCUUGUUAUUGUCCAGAAUAUGGGGGGGGAGGGGUGACGGGGUUGGUCAGCUGUUAUACAUUAUAUUGUACGGUUUUUCCGCCUGAGAAGACAUUAACCACAGGGGUCAACACGGUAUGCGGUAAUAAUAUAAAAUAGGUCGGUAUAUUAUGUGGAGACGAGUCGACCGAAAACUCUUUAUAUUACUCGCUGCGUAUACCGGUGAAAAUGUGCAGCUGAAAAUCGUUAAUAACAGAGCGUUACGAUUUCCGACGAUGACCUGCGCAGUGCACGACACCUGCACCCGUCAACGCAAAACGUUCACCGAACUGCACCAAGUACGCAGACGACGAACCACAUGGCGUGGAAAAAAAAGUCAAUGACAAGUCUGUAGUUGUUCUCGGCGAAUCACAAUUCAGCAAAAAACAAAUGGUUUGGGGUGAUAAUUAUAUUUUAUGUUAUAGGUAUUGUUGGUAAUAAUUCAUACAAUAUUAUUAUUACAAUAGUUUCCGGCCAAAAUAAAUCAGACCGAGAAAACAUUAAAUAAUGCUUUACACAUAUUAUAUAUUAUGUUACGGUUACUACGACAAACAAAUGGUAAUCAUUGAUAUGCUAUUGUGUAUACAUAUUGACACGUACCUGUUAAAGAGUGCAGUAGUCGCCAGUCGGUAACAAUCCCGUCUGAUGAAAAUCCGUCUGCUUUUAUCAGUGUUUUGCGGUGUGAGCCGGAUCAUUGUCAGCCAUAGUUGAAAUCGUUUUGUUUAAAAUAUUUUUUUAUCUCAUGUAUGUGUUAUAGUUUACUCUAGUGAUCAGAGAAAUAUUUGGAAAACUCAAAAAACUAUAUGAUAGGUAUAUCCUAUUGGUUUCCAGAAAAUAUUGUUUUAGGUGCGCCCUAUUAUAGGAGUGAAAAAGCUUCGACAGAUUACAUCGAUACAUUUAAUAAUAAAUAAAUAUUAGCCCAAUAGCAUACUAGUCACUUGUUCCUGAAAAUAAAAACUAAAAAGCAUUUGCUAGUUUUUUUUUUCUAUCCCGCGAAAAUCGCAGUCGUCGUCCGUGUUCUCACGAUGAUAUUAUACCGCACACAACCAAUAUUGUGAUUGAUCGGUUUUUAUUGUUUCGUAACAACAGGAAGUGUUUAUAAUUAAAACGUAUACUAGCUUUUGAGUUAUAACUAUAGUUCUGUAAAAUUUUGUACCUUUUUUUUCACGAUGAGACAAAUAAUUUCAAAAAAACUUCUGAAAAUUGAAUUUUCAUUCCAAUUUGCAGUUUAUUAUGGUCUGCGCUCGCGCCGCAUUUAGCUAUUUAAUAAUACGUGUAAUGUCUAUAACCCCGUAGGUUAUAUAUAUUUAUUUAAUAUAUACGCACGUCGUCCGCUCAAGUGUUAUAUAUUGUACAUGUAUUUAGAAGUAGGUAUAGGUUACCAAAACAAUGGUAUCCACGGUAAUACGCGAUAUAUGCUGCGCGUAUAUAAAUGUAACACGAAUAUACCUAUAUAGUAUAAUAAGUGAUGUAUAUACAUAGGUAUAUAUACUCGUGUGUGUGUGUGAGUGUCGGUGUCAGCGUCGGUGCCAUUUCGGCGCACUUGUUAAUUAUGAUAUUAAACAAUGGACGUUUGCAUAUAUUGUUUAACCUGUUUCCACCGUCGUCCUAUACCGUCGGUAUAGAAAAAAAAUUGCUUUAAUAAUCGUAAACAUGAGGCGGCGUUACUUUUAUAAUAACGAUACAGGUAAUAUUAUUCGUGUACCACAUAUGUAAUAUAUUCUAUAUAUUAUAUUAUAAUGACAAAUAAUAAAAUACUCGGCAGGACCCAUUCACAGUCAAGGUAUACCAAGGUUGGCCACAUGAGCUUUCCAGGACGAGAGGGGGCUUCCACCACUGAUGCCAAAGUGAAAUGCUAAAAUAUGUAACCAAAAUUAAAAAUGUUAUGAACCACAUCAUCCUGCAGAAAUAUCCUGUUCGAUCCCUUACACGCCAACCUCUUAUUUAAGCGACGCACGAUAUUUGAAAACUUUAAAACAGUUAGUAAAAAUGUAGGGUUUCACAGAUCACACAAAAAAUAAAUAGAUAAUUCUCGAACGGCUCUGUUCACCUGUCGGGAUACCCGGAAAUGAGAAAACUUACUCUACAGACAGUAAGAAGCCAUCUUAUCUUUAGUUUCCACGAAAAUCAACACAACGAUAUCGUCUGCAAAAACACUCAAUAUAUUAGUAACUAUUAACGAUAUACAAUUAAUAUUAUCCAAUAUAAAAUUAUGGAAGGUAAGCAGUUGUAUUGGCUAAAUUUACCUCUCCCUGAUAAAACUUGGAAAUUUAAAAUUGAUUAUUACACAGUUGAAAUUGUCACUAGAGCAAGAAUAGACCAUAAACUCCAAACUCGGAUUAAACUAUAAGUAUAUUAUGUCAUUCAUGCAAUGUAUAAUACUAUAUAGCUAAAAACUAAUCAUGACUCAUAUAAGUACCGAUCAACUGCCCAUCGGAUUCAAUAUACGUAUGCAAACCCUCGAUGAGAAGAGAACUGCGCCCUAGAAAUCUGUUCAUUUUUACAUAACGUGCAGUUAGUCUAAGCCGAAAAUUCUAAACUUUCCGGACAUUUUGUUAUUAUAUUCUAUUUUAUAAGGAUGUAAUAGUAUUAUUCUGUGCUGUUAAUAGUUGAAGUGAACUAAAACCAUAAUGCAGUACGCAGUCGAAGCUUUUGUCGAGCAUACAAAAAAAUAUAUACCUAAUUGCAGCACAUAGGUAUAUAAUUAUUAUCUAUAUUCCUAGGUACUCUUAGACCUUAGUAGAUGAAAAACAUAGUGAAGUGUGGAACAUUCCCGAAAAUCGUGAUACAUCGAAUAACGCUUUUUUGUGUUUUGUAUAAAUACGUCACCGCGGCGGAAUCGUUAGAACAUAAUACUUCGUCUGGCACACUUGUGUGUGUGUGUGUGUGUGUGUGUGUGUGUGUGUGUGUGUGUGUGUGUGUGUGUGUGUGUGUGUGUGUGUGUGUGUGUUUGUUAUAACCACGAUGUGUGAAUGCGAGUGUUAAACAAUUGAUUCCGCGCGGGGUUGCAGUGCUGCGGUAUUGUAAUAUUUUAUAUGCGGCGGUGGCGGCGGCGGUAGUCUCGCGGUGACUUGCGCUCUCUCCCCGUCGUAUAAAUAUACAUAUAUUAUAUUAUUGUU
This is a long non-coding RNA of Myzus persicae (green peach aphid), 4083 nucleotides long. RefSeq lists it as uncharacterized. The record is from RefSeq and is a predicted model, not a curated record. The transcript is spliced from 8 exons. NCBI's taxonomy places the organism in Eukaryota, Metazoa, Arthropoda, Insecta, Hemiptera, Aphididae.